Molecule: small nucleolar RNA, 103 nt
Filed under: Thalictrum thalictroides
Lineage: Eukaryota; Viridiplantae; Streptophyta; Magnoliopsida; Ranunculales; Ranunculaceae
Description: Plant small nucleolar RNA R71
Rfam family: Plant small nucleolar RNA R71
About the family: R71 is a member of the C/D box family of snoRNAs containing the C (UGAUGA) and D (CUGA) box motifs.
Source: Rfam by way of RNAcentral
AUUUGAUGAUAUGGACAUUGUAUUUGUAACUCCCCAAAUCUUUCCCAAGCUUCGAAGAAUUCCCUCGUGCUUUUGUCUAAAAGUUGGAUAUUAUUUCUUAACU